GUGGGGAAUAUUGGACAAUGGGCGAAAGCCUGAUCCAGCCAUGCCGCGUGUGUGAAGAAGGUCUUCGGAUUGUAAAGCACUUUAAGUUGGGAGGAAGGGCAGUAAGUUAAUACCUUGCUGUUUUGACGUUACCGACAGAAUAAGCACCGGCUAACUUCGUGCCAGCAGCCGCGGUAAUACGAAGGGUGCAAGCGUUAAUCGGAAUCAUUGUGCGUAAAGCGCACGCAGGCGGUUUUGUAAGUUGGAGGUGAAAUCCCCGGGCUCAAACUGGGAACGGCCGCCAAAACUGCAUGACUAGAGUACGGUAGAGGGUAGUGUAAUUUCCUGUGUAGCGGUGAAAUGCGUAGAUAUAGGAAGGAACACCAGUGGCGAAGGCGACUACCUGGACUGAUACUGACACUGAGGUGCGAAAGCGUGGGGAGCAAACAGGAUUAGAUACCCUUGUAGUCC
This 450-nucleotide ribosomal RNA is filed under the name uncultured bacterium. RNAcentral describes it as "partial 16S ribosomal RNA". It matches the Rfam family "Bacterial small subunit ribosomal RNA", at positions 354 to 796 of the family's 1533-position model. The record is from RNAcentral.